Molecule: ribosomal RNA, 506 nt
Filed under: uncultured bacterium
Lineage: Bacteria
Description: bacterial SSU rRNA
Rfam family: Bacterial small subunit ribosomal RNA
Source: RNAcentral
GAUGAACGCUAGCGGCAGGCUUAAUACAUGCAAGUCGUGGGGCAAGCUCUGGUAGCAAUAUUGGAGCCUAGACCGGCAAACGGGUGAGGAACACGUACACAACCUUCCUUUAAGUGGAGCAUAACCCGGGGAAACCAGGACUAAUACUUCGUAACAUGUUGAAGAGGCAUCUCUUUAAUAUUAUAGCAGCAAUGCGCUUGAAGACGGGUGUGCGCAUGAUUAGGUAGUUGGCGGGGUAACGGCCCACCAAGCCUACGAUCAUUAACUGGUGUGAGAGCAUGAUCAGUCACACGGGCACUGAGACACGGGCCCGACUCCUACGGGAGGCAGCAGUAAGGAAUAUUGGUCAAUGGAGGCAACUCUGAACCAGCCAUGCCGCGUGGAGGAUGAAGGUCCUCUGGAUUGUAAACUUCUUUUAUAAGGGACGAAAAAAGGUACUUUCUUAGAUCGUCUGACGGUACCUUAUGAAUAAGCACCGGCUAACUCCGUGCCAGCAGCCGCGGUAA